RNAcentral lists this ribosomal RNA (539 nucleotides) under uncultured bacterium. Its description in RNAcentral is "bacterial SSU rRNA". It matches the Rfam family "Bacterial small subunit ribosomal RNA", at positions 356 to 896 of the family's 1533-position model. The record is from RNAcentral.
GAGGAAUAUUGGUCAAUGGACGUAAGUCUGAACCAGCCAAGUAGCGUGCAGGAUGACGGCCCUAUGGGUUGUAAACUGCUUUUGUAUGGGGAUAAAGUCAAUCACGUGUGAUUGUUUGCAGGUACCAUACGAAUAAGGACCGGCUAAUUCCGUGCCAGCAGCCGCGGUAAUACGGAAGGUUCGGGCGUUAUCCGGAUUUAUUGGGUUUAAAGGGAGCGUAGGCCGGAGAUUAAGUGUGUUGUGAAAUGUAGACGCUCAACGUCUGACUUGCAGCGCAUACUGGUUUUCUUGAGUACGCACAACGUUGGCGGAAUUCGUCGUGUAGCGGUGAAAUGCUUAGAUAUGACGAAGAACUCCGAUUGCGAAGGCAGCUGACGGGAGCGCAACUGACGCUUAAGCUCGAAGGUGCGGGUAUCGAACAGGAUUAGAUACCCUGGUAGUCCGCACAGUAAACGAUGGAUGCCCGCUGUUGGUACCUGGUAUCAGCGGCUAAGCGAAAGCAUUAAGCAUCCCACCUGGGGAGUACGCCGGCAACGGUG